ACGGCUCAGUAACACGUAGUCAACAUGCCCAGGGGACGUGGAUAACCUCGGGAAACUGAGAAUAAACCGCGAUAGGUCACAAUUUCUGGAAUGGAUUUUGGCUCAAAUCUACAUGGCCCCUGGAUUGGACUGCGGCCGAUCAGGCUGUUGGUGAGGUAAUGGCCCACCAAACCUAUAACCGGUACGGGCUCUGAGAGGAGGAGCCCGGAGAUGGGCACUGAGACAAGGGCCCAGGCCCUAUGGGGCGCAGCAGGCGCGAAACCUCUGCAAUGGGCGAAAGCCUGACAGGGUUACUCUGAGUGAUUCCCGCUAAGGGGAUCUUUUGACACCUCUAAAAAUGGUGUAGAAUAAGGGGUGGGCAAGUCUGGUGUCAGCCGCCGCGGUAAUACCAGCACCCCGAGUGGUCGGGACGAUUAUUGGGCCUAAAGCAUCCGUAGCCGGUUCUUCAAGUCUUCCGUUAAAUCCAGCCGCUCAACGGAUGGGCUGCGGAAGAUACUAAAGGACUAGGAGGCGGGAGAGGCAAGCGGUACUCAGUGGGUAGGGGGUAAAAUCCUUUGAUCCAUUGAAGACCACCAGUGGCGAAGGCGGCUUGCCAGAACGCGCUCGACGGUGAGGGAUGAAAGCUGGGGGAGCAAACCGGAUUAGAUACCCGGGUAGUCCCAGCUGUAAACGAUGCAGACUCGGUGAUGGGCUAGCCUUGUGCUAUCCCAGUGCCGCAGGGAAGCCGUUAAGUCUGCCGCCUGGGGAGUACGGUCGCAAGACUGAAACUUAAAGGAAUUGGCGGGGGAGCAC
Molecule: ribosomal RNA, 792 nt
Filed under: uncultured archaeon
Lineage: Archaea
Description: bacterial SSU rRNA
Rfam family: Archaeal small subunit ribosomal RNA
Source: RNAcentral